GACGAACGCUGGCGGCGUGCUUAACACAUGCAAGUCGAACGGAAAGGCCCUGCUUUUGUGGGGUGCUCGAGUGGCGAACGGAUGAGUAACACGUGAGUAACCUGCCCUUGACUUUGGGAUAACUUCAGGAAACUGGGGCUAAUACCGGAUAGGAGCUCCUGCUGCAUGGUGGGGGUUGGAAAGUUUCGGCGGUUGGGGAUGGACUCGCGGCUUAUCAGCUUGUUGGUGGGGUAGUGGCUUACCAAGGCUUUGACGGGUAGCCGGCCUGAGAGGGUGACCGGCCACAUUGGGCCUGAGCUACGGCCCAGACUCCUACGGGAGGCAGCAGUGGGGAAUAUUGCCCGAUGGGCGGAAGCCUGAUGCAGCAACGCCGCGUGCGGGAUGACGGCCUUCGGGUUGUAAGCCGCUUUCGCCUGUGACGAAGCGUGGGUGACGGUAAUGGGUAAAGAAGCACCGGCUAACUACGUG
Molecule: ribosomal RNA, 468 nt
Filed under: uncultured bacterium
Lineage: Bacteria
Description: partial 16S ribosomal RNA
Rfam family: Bacterial small subunit ribosomal RNA
Source: RNAcentral